CUGAAGAGCUGGUCUCACUCCCACUGUGCCACCUCCAACAGCACAGAGUCUGUUUCCAGGCAGCAGGCAAGCAGGGCUUGAGAACUUUCCCCAGGCUACCCGCCUCCCAGCUGUGAAAGAAAAGGACUUUAGUUCUUCCCCCACCUGUGGAAUCUGCUGGCUGGAUUCAUGCCCUCCAGCAAGUUCUGGCCAGGAGGCUUCUCACCUGGUUCAAAUUGUUACAAAGUUCAGCUGGAGACUUCCUUCUCCCUGUGGCAUUUUCCCCAUACCUCUGGACACCCUCCUGAAGGAUCCCUGUGGUGCCAGGCAUGAAUGGCCUGCUUGGGGACCCAAUGAGUUCCCAGGACCCUUCCUGCUGCUUCUUCUACCCUUGUAUUUUGCUUGGCUGUCUAAAUUGACUCAGCUCCAGGAUCCCUUCGUUUGAGGUAGGAUAUGGAAUCGCAUCCACUCUGAUUUGUUGCCAGCAGUGUUCUCCAACUUAAUUAUCCUCUGUGAUCCACACUAAAGUAUUUUGAAGAAUAACAAAGCUCUCCAAGGGUCUUAAUACAGCUGCCUCGGCAACAUGGCCUCAUGGUUUUUGGAUUUAAUGGGAGAGCUGGUGUCAACAACUUUUUCAAUCCAGAUGCUCUGUGAUCUGUGUGCUUUGAAGGAAAGGAGAGGAAGUGCUGUGUGUUUCAACUGAAGGACUCUAUUGGUAAUUCUUUGAUAUCCAGGAGGCCUGCAUUAUUGUUGUCGAGUUCAAAAUCAUCUUUCAAAAUCAAGAAUUGACAUCAGUUCAUUACCCACGGGUGAGUACACACAUACACACACAUGCACACACACACCAUAUUUACACAUAGGUGCUGAGAAUCUGUUCAGUGAUAUAUUUGCAAAUAAUCUUCAAAAAUAUGAUUUUCAUAUUUGUGUGGACCUAUUUAUGCAUUUCCUCAUUCCUCAUAUCAAUUAACCUAUUAACCAAGAAUUACAAGAAUAUAGAAAGGAAGAAUGAGA
This 990-nucleotide long non-coding RNA is filed under the name Homo sapiens (human). RNAcentral's name for it is "HSALNT0112404". Lineage: Eukaryota; Metazoa; Chordata; Mammalia; Primates; Hominidae. The record is from RNAcentral.